This 253-nucleotide ribosomal RNA is filed under the name uncultured bacterium. RNAcentral's name for it is "partial 16S ribosomal RNA". It matches the Rfam family "Bacterial small subunit ribosomal RNA", at positions 524 to 776 of the family's 1533-position model. The record is from RNAcentral.
UACGUAGGGGGCAAGCGUUGUCCGGAAUCAUUGGGCGUAAAGAGCGUGUAGGCGGCCCGGUAAGUCCGCUGUGAAAGUCCAGGGCUCAACCCUGGGAUGCCGGUGGAUACUGUCGGGCUCGAGUCCGGAAGAGGAGUGUGGAAUUCCUGGUGUAGCGGUGAAAUGCGCAGAUAUCAGGAGGAACACCGGUGGCGAAGGCGGGUCUCUGGGCAGUAACUGACGCUGAGGAGCGAAAGCGUGGGGAGCGAACCGG